GAUGAACGCUAGCGGCAGGCUUAACACAUGCAAGUCGAGGGGCAGCAUAAAUAGUAGCAAUACUAUUGGUGGCGACCGGCGGACGGGUGCGUAACGCGUAUACAACCUUCCCUAAACAGGGGGAUAAUCUGGAGAAAUUCGGUCUAAUACCCCAUAACAUCAGAGCAGGCAUCUGUUUUGGUUAAAAUUUCCGGAGGUUUAGGAUGGGUAUGCGUAGCAUUAGCUAGUUGGUGAGGUAACGGCUCACCAAGGCGACGAUGCUUAGGGGGACUGAGAGGUUAACCCCCCACACUGGUACUGAGACACGGACCAGACUCCUACGGGAGGCAGCAGUGAGGAAUAUUGGUCAAUGGGCGGAAGCCUGAACCAGCCAUGCCGCGUGCAGGAUGACGGCUCUAUGAGUUGUAAACUGCUUUUGUACGAGGGUAAAGUGGGCUACGUGUAGCCUUUUGAAAGUAUCGUACGAAUAAGGAUCGGCUAACUCCGUGCCAGCCGCCGCCGUAA
This 504-nucleotide ribosomal RNA is filed under the name uncultured bacterium. RNAcentral's name for it is "partial 16S ribosomal RNA". It matches the Rfam family "Bacterial small subunit ribosomal RNA", at positions 28 to 523 of the family's 1533-position model. The record is from RNAcentral.